RNAcentral lists this ribosomal RNA (448 nucleotides) under uncultured bacterium. RNAcentral describes it as "partial 16S ribosomal RNA". It matches the Rfam family "Bacterial small subunit ribosomal RNA", at positions 330 to 794 of the family's 1533-position model. The record is from RNAcentral.
CCCAGACUCCUACGGGAGGCAGCAGUGGGGGAUAUUGCACAAUGGGGGGAACCCUGAUGCAGCGACGCCGCGUGGGUGAAGGAGCGUUUCGGCGCGUAAAGCCUUAUCGGCAGGGAAGAAGGAGGACGGUACCUGACUAAGAAGCCCCGGCUAACUACGUGCCAGCAGCCGCGGUAAUACGUAGGGGGCAAGCGUUAUCCGGAUUUACUGGGUGUAAAGGGGGCGCAGACGGCAGCGCAAGCCAGGAGUGAAAGCCCGGGGCCCAACCCCGGGACUGCUCUUGGAACUGCGCGGCUGGAGUGCAGGAGGGGCAGGCGGAAUUCCUGGUGUAGCGGUGAAAUGCGUAGAUAUCAGGAGGAACACCGGUGGCGAAGGCGGCCUGCUGGACUGCAACUGACGUUGAGGCCCGAAAGCGUGGGGAGCAAACAGGAUUAGAUACCCCAGUACU